Molecule: transfer RNA, 74 nt
Filed under: Desulfocapsa sulfexigens DSM 10523
Lineage: Bacteria; Pseudomonadati; Thermodesulfobacteriota; Desulfobulbia; Desulfobulbales; Desulfocapsaceae
Rfam family: tRNA
About the family: Transfer RNA (tRNA) molecules are approximately 80 nucleotides in length. Their secondary structure includes four short double-helical elements and three loops (D, anti-codon, and T loops).
Source: Rfam by way of RNAcentral
GCACCCAUAGCUCAGCUGGAUAGAGCACCGGACUUCGAAUCCGGGAGUCGUAGGUUCGAAUCCUACUGGGUGUA